This 231-nucleotide long non-coding RNA is filed under the name Elaeis guineensis (African oil palm). Its description in RNAcentral is "long non-coding RNA (EGUI_LNC033385)". Lineage: Eukaryota; Viridiplantae; Streptophyta; Magnoliopsida; Arecales; Arecaceae. The record is from RNAcentral.
CUUGGGAUUGGUUCUGGACUGUCGGAUCAUGCUGAUAAUCUCUUAUUCUCAGUCGGGAGCAUCCUCAGUCAUCAGAUCUCAUGAUGGAUUCAUUUUUGACCGUUCGAUCGUACAAAAAAUCUUCUUAUAAACCGGCAACGAACAGCAGCCGUUGGAUCGAUCUUCAGAUUAAAUCUUAGUCGUUGGAUGGUGCAAUAUAGCUUCCACUGCCCGUAGACCACGUCUGUGGAC